RNAcentral lists this non-coding RNA (31 nucleotides) under Mus musculus (house mouse). The record is from RNAcentral. Lineage: Eukaryota; Metazoa; Chordata; Mammalia; Rodentia; Muridae.
UAGACCAAGUUGGAGCCAAGAAAGAAAAAUA